This 1048-nucleotide long non-coding RNA is filed under the name Oryctolagus cuniculus (rabbit). RNAcentral describes it as "lncRNA (ENSOCUG00000033666.1)". The stretch from base 969 to 1048 matches the Rfam family "mir-34 microRNA precursor family". Lineage: Eukaryota; Metazoa; Chordata; Mammalia; Lagomorpha; Leporidae. The record is from RNAcentral.
AGAUCGGGGCCCUCGGAGCCGCGGCGAGCGUGGGAGCCAUGCCCGGAGGCAGGAGCGGCCGGGGAGCCCGCGCGACCUGCUCGCGCCGUCCGAGAUGAGCUCAGGUGAGGAUGCCAUCCCCUGCCGUGGGUCUCCCUCUGCAGCACAGCUCACGGUUGUCAUCGUCCAUGGCUCGUUUCUUGCCUGGGUCUCUCCCCACACACAUUGGAUCCCCCACGCCCAUCCUGGUGGACCGAGAGGACUCCCGAUUUCCCAGGAUUUGGUACAACCAAGAGCAGCGGUGCCAGAAUCUGCAGCACUGACAGCUUCGAGACCGCCCAGCUCCGGUCUCUGGGACAUCCCGUGCUGGGAUGAGGUCCCCGUGGCCCUCCUGUCCCACACCCCUGCACCCAUGGUCAUUUCACUGCAUCUCCAGCAGCUCCGGAUGGUGGUCAGCUUUCUGUGUCAGCUUGGCCAGGCCGUAGCACCCGGGGAAUUCAACCAAACCCUGACCUGGGUGCAGCUGUGCUUGGUAGGUGGGGUCAGCAUCUACAGUCACGGCCUUGGAGUGAAGGAGGGUGUCCCCUAUAACACGGGUGGGCUUCACCCAAGCUCUGAGCGCACCACUGAGGUUUCCCUGGGGAAGGGGUACGUCCACCUCGGACUGCAGGGUUCCCGGCUGGCCUGGCCGCCUCCCGAUCCCACACUUGGCCCAGCCAGCCCACAGUCACAAAGGCCAGUUGUUUGCAAUGUGUUACCCAUCUCCUCCUUCUGGCUCUCACUGGCACGCUCACCGCAAGGUUCCCGCGACGGGACGGGAGGCGCUGGCCUCUGCUCCACUGUCCUUUUCCGACUCUCUUCCAGGAGUGCCGACAGUUUCUCGGUCCCCGUCAGCCGGCGGUGGGGUCACAUCUUUCUGUUCCCCCGGUCUCCUUUUUAUCAGCAGGUCCCGGGAGAAGCCACGGACGCGCGCCAGGGAGGGGCCGGCUGUGAGUGUUUCUUUGGCAGUGUCUUAGCUGGUUGUUGUGAGUCACAGAGAAGGAAGCAAUCAGCAAGUAUACUGCCCUAG